GAGAUAUCUGACACACGAUCAUGACUGAUCUGGCUGACAUGAAGAAGGCCAUUGACCCCACCAAUGUCAAUGAAGGCACCAUAUGGUUUCAAGCUCUGGACAAUUCCAAGUACAACUGACCCAAUUCCCAACUGUGUCUGACUAUCAGCCAUGGCCUUGCGGUUGCUGAGUAUAAGUCUAGUUUGCUCUUGAUCAACCUCAACAAAUUUCAGAGGAAGUUCUUUCUCCAAAAGCUCCUCUGCAGUUGAUUUCGAAAAUAUCUGUGAGAAUGGAAUAAACCCACGAAGGCCCUCGACCAAUGCCACCACUCCACCUUUAUUUGCACUAACCACCUUACCUUUGACAACAACAUCUUCAGCUUGAAGUUGUCUGCACCUUUCCCAUGCCAGGUCAUAUUGAAUUGAACGCAAACUCAAUAUCACACUAUCAUCAGCUUCAUUUUCAC
This 445-nucleotide unclassified non-coding RNA is filed under the name Hevea brasiliensis (rubber tree). The record is from RNAcentral. Lineage: Eukaryota; Viridiplantae; Streptophyta; Magnoliopsida; Malpighiales; Euphorbiaceae.